UACCCGCGCCACAAGUGGUAAUCGCGUUUAUUGGGUUUAAAGCGUCCGUAGCCGGUUUGCUAAGUCUUCGGUGAAAGGUCAUAGUCAACUAUGGCGAGUGCCGAAGAUACUGGCUCGCUAGAGACCGGGAGAAGUGUGGAGUAUUCCUGGGGUAGGGGUAAAAUCCUGUAAUCCCAGGAGGACUACCUGUGGCGAAGGCGCCACACUAGAACGGAUCUGACGGUGAGGGACGAAAGCUAGGGGAGCAAAAGGG
Molecule: ribosomal RNA, 253 nt
Filed under: uncultured archaeon
Lineage: Archaea
Description: partial 16S ribosomal RNA
Rfam family: Archaeal small subunit ribosomal RNA
Source: RNAcentral